UACAACUUUCAGCAACGGAUCUCUUGGCUCUCGCAUCGAUGAAGAACGCAGCGAAAUGCGAUAAGUAAUGUGAAUUGCAGAAUUCAGUGAAUCAUCGAAUCUUUGAACGCACCUUGCGCUCCUUGGUAUUCCGAGGAGCAUGCCUGUUUGAGUGUCAUGGAAC
Molecule: ribosomal RNA, 163 nt
Filed under: Fomitopsis pinicola
Lineage: Eukaryota; Fungi; Basidiomycota; Agaricomycetes; Polyporales; Fomitopsidaceae
Description: 5.8S ribosomal RNA
Rfam family: 5.8S ribosomal RNA
About the family: 5.8S ribosomal RNA (5.8S rRNA) is a component of the large subunit of the eukaryotic ribosome. It is transcribed by RNA polymerase I as part of the 45S precursor that also contains 18S and 28S rRNA.
Source: RNAcentral